RNAcentral lists this transfer RNA (73 nucleotides) under Fasciola hepatica (liver fluke). It matches the Rfam family "tRNA". Rfam says of the family: Transfer RNA (tRNA) molecules are approximately 80 nucleotides in length. The record is from Rfam by way of RNAcentral. Lineage: Eukaryota; Metazoa; Platyhelminthes; Trematoda; Plagiorchiida; Fasciolidae.
ACUGCGAUAGCUCGGUUGGUAAAGCAUUUGCCCAGUAAGCGGACGAUGGCCGGUUCGUUUCCGGCUCGCGGAG